CCCAUUUAAGGACUGACUCCCAAGGAGGAAGGAUCUCCAGAUAGAGAUCUAUCUGGAACCUCUUGGAACCCUUCUGUGAGCUUAGGACAUGGUGUCCUUGCUUGCUUUCAGAUGGACCCCUGUAAAGCACAGGAUUCAAGUGGUGCUCAAAACCACCCCUUAGCUGAAACAUCUCUGCAUCUGCAGGUAGACUGCACUAACUGCAUGGUGAUGUGGCACUCGUGUUCUUGGAAAAAAACGCCUGGUGAAGGUAUGAGUGAUGGCAAACAAUGCGUCCUUGCCUGUGUUUGUGCAGGCCUAAAGGUGUGCUCCUGUAGGAAGUGUCUCAUCUGAAGUAGCGUCGAGCACCCACAGACCUCAAACAAGCCGCUUCUGAAGACCAGUUAUGGCAAAAGUUUGAAUACUUUCUAGAGAAACAUACUAAACAUGGUCAAAAAUAAUCUUGUUGCAAUAAAACUCCUUUUAAACUCUAUCUUCAUUUCCGACCCUGUACAGAAUAAAAUUCAAGUCAUUAACCAUAGCUUUUAAGGUUUCAUGUGUGUGCCUCCCUAUAUUCUCUGCCCUUUUUGGAGCUACUAAAUAACAGUAAUAAUAAAAAUGGCCUCUGGCAUUCCCUUGAAAUUUCUUGUCAUUCAGUGUCAAAACCUAAUUUGCUACUGCCCCUCUCAUUUAGAUUCAUAAACUUAAAUUUGCAAAUCCUUCAUUCCCUCUCUAGGUAUGUGAAAUUUAAAUGAGUUCAUUAUAAAAAUAAAUACUUUUCCAACUGAUAGAUAUGUAAGCUCUAUGCCAACAGCUAUGCCAAGACUGUC
Gallus gallus (chicken) is the source of this 809-nucleotide long non-coding RNA. The record is from Ensembl. Lineage: Eukaryota; Metazoa; Chordata; Aves; Galliformes; Phasianidae.